AUUGAACGCUGGCGGCAGGCCUAACACAUGCAAGUCGAGCGGCAGCGGGAAAGUAGCUUGCUACUUUUGCCGGCGAGCGGCGGACGGGUGAGUAAUGCCUGGGAAAUUGCCCAGUCGAGGGGGAUAACAGUUGGAAACGACUGCUAAUACCGCAUACGCCCUACGGGGAAAGGCAGGGACCGUUCGGGCCGUUGCGCGAUUGGAUAUGCCACGGUGGGAGUUAGCUAGUUGGUGAGGUAAUGGCUCACCAAGGCGACGAUCCCUAGCUGGUCUGAGAGGAUGAUCAGCCACACUGGAACUGAGACACGGUCCAGACUCCUACGGGAGGCAGCAGUGGGGAAGUAUUGCACAAUGGGGGAAACCCUGAUGCAGCCAUGCCGCGUGUGUGAAGAAGGCCUCGGUG
RNAcentral lists this ribosomal RNA (403 nucleotides) under uncultured bacterium. RNAcentral describes it as "bacterial SSU rRNA". It matches the Rfam family "Bacterial small subunit ribosomal RNA", at positions 29 to 422 of the family's 1533-position model. The record is from RNAcentral.